CCUACGGGGGGCAGCAGUGGGGAAUAUUGCACAAUGGGCGCAAGCCUGAUGCAGCCAUGCCGCGUGUGUGAAGAAGGCCUUCAGGUUGUAAAGCACUUUCAGCGGGGAGGAAGGCGGUGAGGUUAAUAACCUCAUCGAUUGACGUUACCCGCAGAAGAAGCACCGGCUAACUCCGUGCCAGCAGCCGCGGUAAUACGGAGGGUGCAAGCGUUAAUCGGAAUUACUGGGCGUAAAGCGCACGCAGGCGGUCUGUCAAGUCGGAUGUGAAAUCCCCGGGCUCAACCUGGGAACUGCAUUCGAAACUGGCAGGCUAGAGUCUUGUAGAGGGGGGUAGAAUUCCAGGUGUAGCGGUGAAAUGCGUAGAGAUCUGGAGGAAUACCGGUGGCGAAGGCGGCCCCCUGGACAAAGACUGACGCUCAGGUGCGAAAGCGUGGGGAGCAAACAGGAUUAGAUACCCGGGUAGUC
RNAcentral lists this ribosomal RNA (465 nucleotides) under uncultured Klebsiella sp. RNAcentral describes it as "bacterial SSU rRNA". It matches the Rfam family "Bacterial small subunit ribosomal RNA", at positions 338 to 795 of the family's 1533-position model. Lineage: Bacteria; Pseudomonadati; Pseudomonadota; Gammaproteobacteria; Enterobacterales; Enterobacteriaceae. The record is from RNAcentral.